This 283-nucleotide ribosomal RNA is filed under the name uncultured bacterium. RNAcentral describes it as "partial 16S ribosomal RNA". It matches the Rfam family "Bacterial small subunit ribosomal RNA", at positions 30 to 323 of the family's 1533-position model. The record is from RNAcentral.
CCUGAACGCUGGCGGCGUGGCUAAGACAUGCAAGUCGUACGGUGUAGCAAUACACAGUGGCGAACGGGAGAGUAAUGAAUCGCUAAUGUGCCCCGGACUCUGGGAUAGCUAUCCGAAAGGGUAGGUAAUACCAGAUGAUAUGCAGCUGUCGCAUGACAGUUGCCUCAAAGGUCCGCCGGUCUGGGAGCAGGCGAUUUCGUAUCAGCAGUUGGUGAGGUAACGGCUCACCAAGGCGACGACGCGUAGCCGGACUGAGAGGUUGGCCGGCCUCAUUGGGACUGAG